This 73-nucleotide transfer RNA is filed under the name Loxodonta africana (African savanna elephant). It matches the Rfam family "tRNA". Rfam says of the family: Transfer RNA (tRNA) molecules are approximately 80 nucleotides in length. Their secondary structure includes four short double-helical elements and three loops (D, anti-codon, and T loops). Further hydrogen bonds mediate the characteristic L-shaped molecular structure. tRNAs have two regions of fundamental functional importance: the anti-codon, which is responsible for specific mRNA codon recognition, and the 3' end, to which the tRNAs corresponding amino acid is attached (by aminoacyl-tRNA synthetases). tRNAs cope with the degeneracy of the genetic code in two manners: having more than one tRNA (with a specific anti-codon) for a particular amino acid; and 'wobble' base-pairing, i.e. permitting non-standard base-pairing at the 3rd anti-codon position. Lineage: Eukaryota; Metazoa; Chordata; Mammalia; Proboscidea; Elephantidae. The record is from Rfam by way of RNAcentral.
GCUAUAAUAGCUCAGUUGGGAGAGGGUUAGACUGAAGAUCUAAAGGUUCCUGGUUUGACCUUGAGUUUUGGCA